ACGGCGAGUGAGAGGAAGAGCUCAAAGUUGGAAACUGUUUGGCUUAGCUAAACCGUAUUGUAAACUGUAGAAACAUUUUCCUGGCACACCAGAUUAAUAAGUCCUUUGGAACAAGGCAUCAUGGAGGGUGAGAAUCCCGUCUUUGAUCUGAGUAGUUGUCUUUUGUGAUAUGUUUUCAAAGAGUCAGGUUGUUUGGGAAUGCAGCCUAAAUUGGGUGGUAAAUCUCACCUAAAGCUAAAUAUUUGCGAGAGACCGAUAGCGAACAAGUACCGUGAGGGAAAGAUGAAAAGAACUUUGAAAAGAGAGUUAAACAGUAUGUGAAAUUGUUAAAAGGGAACCGUUUGGAGCCAGACUGGUUUGCUUGUAAUCAACCUAGAAUUCGUUUUGGGUGCACUUGCAGGCUAUACCUGCCAACAACAGUUUGAUUUGGAGGAAAAAAUUAAUAGGAAUGUAGCCUCUCGAGGUGUUAUAGCCUAUUAUCAUACUCUGGAUUGGACUGAGGAACGCAGCGAAUGCCUUUAGGCAAGAUUGCUGGGUGCUUUCGCUAAUAAAUGUUAGAAUUUCUGCUUCGGGUGGUGCUAAUGUUUAAAGGAGGAACACAUCUAGUAUAUUUUUUAUUCGCUUAGGUUGUUGGCUUAAUGACUC
This 645-nucleotide ribosomal RNA is filed under the name Mucor lusitanicus. RNAcentral describes it as "eukaryotic LSU rRNA". It matches the Rfam family "Eukaryotic large subunit ribosomal RNA", at positions 86 to 640 of the family's 3401-position model. The record is from RNAcentral. Lineage: Eukaryota; Fungi; Mucoromycota; Mucoromycetes; Mucorales; Mucoraceae.